UAGGAUUUCCUUAGUAGCUGCGAGCGAACAGGAAAGAGCCCAGCACUGAAUCCCGCGGUCAGCAACGGCCGCCGGGAAAUGUAGUGUUAGGGAGGGCCCGUUUAUCUCGGAGCCGCGCGAUGCGUCCAAGUCCUUCUUGAACGGGGCCACAACCCAUAGAGGGUGCCAGGCCCGUAGCGACCGUCGCCGGUUUCGAGAGGGUUUCUCCUCAGAGUCGGAUUGCUUGAGAGUGCAGUCCUAAGUGGGUGGUAAACUCCAUCUAAGGCUAAAUAUAACCACGAGACCGAUAGCGAACAAGUACCGUGAGGGAAAGUUGAAAAGCACUUUGAAGAGAGAGUUAAACAGUACGUGAAACCGUUCAGGGGUAAACCUGAGCAACCCGAAAGAUCGAUCGGGGAAGUUCACCGUGUCUUGAUGCGCGAGCGUGAGUCGUGCGACGCGUGCAUUGCGGCUUGCCGUUGUGUGCGUGCUCCUUCUUGCGUGACCGGGUAUCGAGCGCGUGCACUCUUCCCCCAGUAGAACGUCGCGAUCCGUUGAGUGCUGGUCUAAGGCCUGCGGUGGAGCCCGUGUUGCUCGCUUUGCGGCGAGUGGCGCGGACCCGUGGUGUUCCCGACCAGCUCGCUCGACGGUAGCAUAGUAUGCAGCGUAGAGCCGCACACAUUUUGAAGUGCGUUCAGCCCGUCGCAAGCACGUCCGCCCGAUAAGUUGGUGUGACGGACACAAAGUGCCGUCCCCAGCCACGGACGACUGUUGGCGUGCGGUGUCUUUGAACAGACUCUCACACGCUCAUCUGCGGCGCUAUAGCUUUGGGUACGUUCAGGACCCGUCUUGAAACACGGACCAAGGAGUCUAGCAUGUGCGCGAGUCAUUGAGUAAAACGAAACUCAAAGGCGCAAUGAAAGUAAAAGCUGGCCUUGCGCCAGCCGAGGGAAGAUGAGCAAACGUACAAACACGCGUGCUCCGCACUCCCGGGGCGUCUCACGCUUUCCGCGAGCGGAGGCGCACCUAGAGCGUACACGCUGGGACCCGAAAGAUGGUGAACUAUGCUUGGUCAGGACGAAGUCAGGGGAAACCCUGAUGGAGGUCCGUAGCGAUUCUGACGUGCAAAUCGAUCGUCGGAACUGAGUAUAGGGGCGAAAGACUAAUCGAACUAUCUAGUAGCUGGUUCCCUCCGAAGUUUCCCUCAGGAUAGCUGGCGCUCAUGCGUACAAGUUUCAUCCGGUAAAGCGAAUGAUUAGAGGCAUUGGGGCCGAAACGGCCUCAACCUAUUCUCAAACUUUAAAUGGGUGAGAUCGCCGGCUUGCUUAAAUGCUUGAAGCCGUGCGCUCACAAUGUAUGAAUAGAG
This 1345-nucleotide ribosomal RNA is filed under the name Atomaria sp. CO145. RNAcentral describes it as "eukaryotic LSU rRNA". It matches the Rfam family "Eukaryotic large subunit ribosomal RNA", at positions 70 to 1121 of the family's 3401-position model. The record is from RNAcentral. Lineage: Eukaryota; Metazoa; Arthropoda; Insecta; Coleoptera; Cryptophagidae.